ACGUAGAAGGAGAGGUUGAACGGAUGAACUAGCUCUGAAUAAUUGCAGCUUGUCCAUUUGGAUGUUGUGAGCUUCUUCCCAAUCAUCACACCCUAAAUCUAAUCCCCAAAUUUAUCAAACAAAUACCAAAUUGAACUAUCAAAUUCAUUUCUUAUCAGUUAUCACUCACUAACACUCUUCACUGUUUUACUUAACCAAGCCGCUUAACCAUGCCGGUUUUCAAAACCCCAUUUAACGGUUACUCCGUCAAGUUCAGCCCCUUCUACGAGAACCGCCUCGCCGUCGCCACCGCUCAGAACUUCGGCAUCCUCGGCAAUGGCCGUCUACACGUUCUCGACCUCUCUCCGGACCCCUCCCUCCCUAUCACCGAACUCGUCGCCUACGACACCGCCGACGGCGUCUACGACGUCACCUGGUCCGAAUCUCACGACUCUAUCGUAGUCGCCGCCGUGGCCGACGGCUCCGUCAAACUCUACGACCUGGCACUCCCUCCCACCUCGAACCCUAUACGGUCCUUCCACGAACACACGCGCGAGGUGCACUCCGUGGAUUACAACCCCGUUCGCCGCGACUCCUUCCUCUCUUCCUCUUGGGACGACACAGUCAAGCUCUGGACCCUUGAUCGUCCCACCAGCGUUCGAACCUUCAAGGAACACGCCUACUGCGUUUACUCCUCCAUCUGGAACCCUCGCCACGCCGAUGUCUUCGCCUCCGCUUCCGGAGAUUGCACCGUUCGCAUCUGGGACGUUCGCGAACCCGGUUCAACCAUGAUUCUCCCCGCGCACGAGUUCGAGAUCUUGGCUUGCGAUUGGAAUAAGUACGAUGAUUGUGUUAUCGCCACUGCUUCGGUGGAUAAGUCUCUGAAGGUGUGGGAUGUGAGGAACUAUAGGGUUCCUCUGACUGUGCUGAACGGGCACGGGUAUGCUGUGAGGAAGGUGAAGUUUUCGCCGCACGUGCGGAAUUUGAUGGUGUCUUGUUCUUAUGAUAUGACGGUUUGUGUUUGGGAUUUCAUGGUGGAGGAUGCUCUGGUGAGUAGGUAUGAUCAUCACACUGAGUUUGCUGUUGGGGUUGAUAUGAGUGUGCUUGUGGAGGGUCUCAUGGCUAGCACUGGUUGGGAUGAGCUUGUUUAUGUGUGGCAGCAGGGAACUGACCCCAGGGCACCUUAGAAGAGGGAACAAGUGGGGAAGAAGCAAGAUGAUGAAGUUUAGAUGUUCGUAAAAUUGGAGCCAAGUCACGCUCAUAAUGCGUUUUGCAUUCUGGAUGUCUUACCAUUGCGUGCAACUCUAAAUUAAAUUCUACGUGCUCUGGAAGGUUGGAAUAGUCUGGUACAAUGGUGAAUUAUCGAUGGCAACAGGUCCUUCGGUUAUUUUGGUUGCAACCACGCCAACAUCUGAACAUGGUAUACAAUGCUUUUGCACUUUGUCAAAUGUUUAUGAAGAAAUUAAGAUUACAGAAAUUUGGGGCCUUUAAACCUUAAACUCAAAGAAUCAUUGUUCUGGUUCAGCUGAGAGUAGUUCUAUGCAAGUUGUGGUAGCAAAGAUGAGUUUUAGAACACUGAUAACCAACAUUUUGAUUUUGACAUUCUUGUUCAUCUUAUCCUCUCAUGAUUGAGAUGUACAUUCACCUACUUUCUACUUUCAAUUAGAAAAUUGUUUCAUUAAUGU
Abrus precatorius (Indian licorice) is the source of this 1664-nucleotide RNA transcript. It is a transcript of the gene named peroxisome biogenesis protein 7, with no coding region annotated. The transcript has 4 exons. The record is from RefSeq and is a predicted model, not a curated record. NCBI's taxonomy places the organism in Eukaryota, Viridiplantae, Streptophyta, Magnoliopsida, Fabales, Fabaceae.